RNAcentral lists this long non-coding RNA (1500 nucleotides) under Macaca fascicularis (crab-eating macaque). RNAcentral describes it as "lncRNA (ENSMFAG00000050096.1)". The record is from RNAcentral. Lineage: Eukaryota; Metazoa; Chordata; Mammalia; Primates; Cercopithecidae.
UUUUUUUUUUUUUUUUAAUGGUCCUUACACUGGAUUCAUUUAUCUUGAAAUGGAGGGCAACUGCAGUUGCAGACUUCAAUGUACAGUACACGUCAAAAUUCAGCUUUUUCUUCUGAUAUCAUGACUUUACUUCUUGGGAGUACUUCCAACACCACUAGUGGCACUUCGUAUGAGUCCCAUGAUGUUCGUCAAAGUUUAUGGUAUUUGCACUAAACAUGACGAAAUAUAUGUGAGAAGCCCAAGACAUCAUUUUUUACUGCAAUAUUUUACUGGAGAGAUAACUGCUCACGCUGAGAUGAUUAACAUCACACAGAGUUGCAAGUGGACACUAGGAACACUUAAGCUUACCUCGCUAGCAACAGGAGGUGGCUACAAAAAAUUACUGUAGCUAAUUUUUAUGCAGUUAUGAUUUAAUACUGCAUAUUUACAUUUGUUUAUAUUUCUCUCAACUGCAAAUGGCACCAUGUGCAAUCUGUAAGUGUAUGUGACUUUUGAUAAAUUUCAAGGUUUUAUAAAAGAUUUGUGUAUAUUUUAUGAUAGUAAAUAAUAUAAUAGACAAGAAUCUACAUAUAUUUUAUGCAUUCAUGACAUAUCUUUUUCUUAACUUUUUGGCUUCUUCUAAGCUUUACCAUUUGUUUACCAUUUGUUUGUUCAAAUUGUCGCAAAUCUCCAAAAUGUGUUAUAAUACAUUUAUUGGGAAAAAAUCAUGUAUAAGAAGGCCCAAGCAGUUCAAACCCGUGUUGUUCAGGGGUCAAAUGUACUUUUCAAUGAGGACCUACCACACGCUAGGCACUGCACAGGAGGCCUCCAUAAACUUCUCACCGCAUGCUCAAAUCAACCUUAGACCAGUUUAUGUCUAAUGCAGAGACAAUAAAACUGAGGUCCUGAGUAAUUUGCCAAGUCACACACACUAGUAGGUGAUGGGAAGGAGACUGGAGCAUAUACCUAUGCACAGCACAGAGCCUCUCUGCAGGUGGGAAGACUAUGCUCAUGCACCACAUUAAAUUUUUGUACUUUCUGGUAUCCCUUUGCUCCCUGCAGUAGGCUGAAAAAGGUCCUCCAAGAAUAUCAGGUCCUAAUCUCUGGAUACAGUAAAUGUCACUUUAUAAGAAAAAGAAUCUUGGCAGAUGUGAUUAAGCAAAGGAUCUUGAGGUAGAGAAGUUAUCCUGGAUUAUCAGAGUAGGCCCUAGAUUUCAUCAGAUACAUUCUCAGAAGAGGGAGGCAGAGGAAGAUUUGACACACAGAGAGGAUGAUAUGGUCUGAAUUUUUGUGUCCUUCAAAUUUGUAUGUUGGAAACCUAGUCACUAAUGUGAUGGUAUUAGGUGUGGCCUUUGGGAAGUGAUUGCAUCAUGAGAGUACAGCCCUCAUGGGGUUUGUGUCCUUAUAAAUGAGGUCCCAGAGAGCUGCCUUGCCCCUUCCACCAUGUGAGGACACAGCGAGAAGUCAGCAGUUUGCAACCUGAAAGCUGGCCAUCACCAGACACCCAAUCUGCUAAUACCU